This 119-nucleotide ribosomal RNA is filed under the name Lepisosteus oculatus (spotted gar). The record is from RNAcentral. Lineage: Eukaryota; Metazoa; Chordata; Actinopteri; Semionotiformes; Lepisosteidae.
GCCAGCAGCUAUAUCACCCUGCAACUCACCACUGGCAGCCCACUGAAGCUCAGCAGGUGUGAGCCUGGUCAGUACCUGGAUGGGAGACCUCCUGGGAGAAAAUAAAGCUGCUGCUGGAA